GAUGAACGCUGGCGGCGUGCCUAAUACAUGCAAGUCGAGCGAACGGACGAGAAGCUUGCUUCUCUGAUGUUAGCGGCGGACGGGUGAGUAACACGUGGAUAAGCUACCUAUAAGACUGGGAUAACUUCGGGAAACCGGGGCUAAUACCGGAUAAUAUUUUGAACCGCAUGGUUCAAACGUUAAAGACGGUCUUGCUGACACUUAUAGAUGGAUCCGCGCUGCAUUAGCUAGUUGGUAAGGUAACGGCUUAGCAAGGCUACGAUGCAUAGCCGACCUGAGCGGGACGUCCGCCACACUGGAUCUGAGACACAGCCGAGACUCCGACGGUAGGACGCAGUAGGGAAUCUUCCGCGAGGGGGGAGAGCCGGACGGAGCACCGCCGCGUGAGUGAUGAAGGUCUUCGGAUCGGAAAACUCUGUUAUUAGUGAAGAACAUAUGUGUAAGUACCUGUGCUCAUCUUGACGGUACCUAAUCAGAAAGCCACGGCUAACUCCGUG
RNAcentral lists this ribosomal RNA (497 nucleotides) under uncultured bacterium. RNAcentral's name for it is "partial 16S ribosomal RNA". It matches the Rfam family "Bacterial small subunit ribosomal RNA", at positions 28 to 507 of the family's 1533-position model. The record is from RNAcentral.